CUGGUGCCAGCAGCCGCGGUAAUUCCAGCUCCAAUAGCGUAUAUUAAAGUUGCUGACAGUUAAAAGCUCGUAGUUGAAUUUCGGGACUGAUAUGUCGGUCGUGCCUCGGUACGUACUGGUAUUUUUGGUUUCUCCCUUCUGACGAACCUUGAUGUCAUUAAUUUGGUGUCUUGGGAAAUCAGGACUGUUACUUGAAAAAUUAGAGUGUUUAAAGCAGGCUCACGCUUGAAUACAUUAGCAUGGAAUAAUGAAAUAGGACGUUUGAUUCUAUUUUGUUAGGUUUCUAGGAUCGACGUAAUGAUUAAUAGGGAUAGUUGGGGGCAUUAGUAUUCAAUUGUCAGAGGUGAAAUUCUUAGAUUUAUUGAAGACUAACUACUGCGAAAGCAUUUGCCAAGGAUGUUUUCAUUAAUCAAGAACGAAAGUUAGGGGGAUCGAAGACGAUCAGAUACCGUCGUAGUCUUAACCAUAAACUAUGCCGACUAGGGAUCGGAUGAUGUUAAUUUUUUAAUGACUCAUUCGGCGCCUUACG
RNAcentral lists this ribosomal RNA (529 nucleotides) under uncultured Glomus. RNAcentral describes it as "SSU rRNA". It matches the Rfam family "Eukaryotic small subunit ribosomal RNA", at positions 561 to 1092 of the family's 1831-position model. Lineage: Eukaryota; Fungi; Glomeromycota; Glomeromycetes; Glomerales; Glomeraceae. The record is from RNAcentral.